Spinacia oleracea (spinach) is the source of this 1211-nucleotide long non-coding RNA. RefSeq lists it as uncharacterized. The record is from RefSeq and is a predicted model, not a curated record. The transcript has 6 exons. NCBI's taxonomy places the organism in Eukaryota, Viridiplantae, Streptophyta, Magnoliopsida, Caryophyllales, Amaranthaceae.
UUCAUUUUUUUAAUAAGUUUAUAAGAUUCCACCAAACUCACACGAAAACCUAAGUUUAUUUUUCUCUGAUUCAAGAUAUGGCAGCGAGUGCAAACCAAAGCCCAAAUUCUUGCCCACCUUUCUGUCGACUAAACCGCCUUUCAUUCAUAUCAAUCUUCAACCAGAAACAACUUCAACCCUUGGGGCAUUGUUUUGGUGGUGUAUUUGGCAAAGGAGACGAUGUUGGUGGUAGAAUCGAAAUGGGUACAUGCUUAAUUGGUGGUGGAUGAUGGCGUUUUUGGUGGUGGAAUUGGAAUGUGUUGCGAUUUAAUUGGCAGGCCUGGUGGUAGAUCUUCUCAAUCAACUCAGAUCUUCUCAAUCAACUCGUUAAUAUUCUGGCGAGCGAGUAGGUGAUUCGGCAAUGAUUGGAGAUUUGGGUUUUUUACCAAAAUUUCGAGGCUUGAAGGUAGAAUUAUCUCAAUCAGGUAGUUAAUCGUUCUGAGAAAGUCGUAGAAAGGCACUUCGACAUCUUGCUGUUGACUUUCUUGGUGUGGAGAUCCAGACUGGAGAGCAUUGUCCUUGUGCAAGAUCGACAAGGGUUUACUUUAAGUUUGACAACAUUAGUCGGUUGAAUUCUAAGAUUAGAGUUGAUUCAGUGCUAAAGAUGAUUAUUGAUUCAUUGGAGGUCACUUCUUCAAUGAAAGGGCAGGAGGCAAGGGAUUGUCUUUUGGGCUGUCUUUUUUGCUAUGGUGCCAAUGCAAGGUCUGGCAGAUUGAAAGAAGAAUGUGGGUCUGACAGAAAUAGUCGUUAGUUACAUCAAAGAAGGCAGCACAAAAGGUGUUUAAGUCGAAGUCUCGUAAUCAAGUUGUGGACUUGAGGGUUUAGGGAGGUACUUCAAUCUAAGUUGAAUGAAGCAAACGAACAAAAUCAUGUGCUUACCAAUCGCGUGGAUACGAUACAUGAAGAAAGCAAUGCAAUUAAGAGCCGCAUGAGUUCAGUUGAAGAUGAACUUAAAUCAUUUAAAGACGUGUUACUACAACGGCUCGAGGCUCCAAGAGAGGACACUUAAUCUAUUUAGAUUUUAUUUUGUUAUUUUAGAUUGAACAUGAGUUAUUUAUUUAUUAGUUUUAUAGAGUUUAAAGGCAAGGGGAUGUGAUUGUUGGGUUCACGUAACUUGAAGUUCUAUUGUCAAUAAUUUUUUGAGUAAUGAAAUUUUCAUUUGUUUUAAUUGA